UGGGAUAACAAAGGAGCAGCCUAUGAGCUACCGUUUAGGCUUUUGUUGGUUUUAAAAGUUCGUGGGGAGAUUACGGGUUUGUAGGACCGGCGUUGUGGAGCCUUCUUAACCGGGGGUUCCCUCGUCUCCUCCUUGUGCUGGCAACGGUGCCUGGAGGCCUAUUUUACUCAGGAAUGAAGGAGGGUUGCUCGGGGGAAAACGUACUUGGGCGUGAGAGGUGAAAUUCUUAGACCGCCCAAAGACGAACUACAGCGAAGGCAUUUUCCAAGGAUACCUUCCUCAAUCAAGAACCAAAGUGUGGGGAUCGAAGAUGAUUAGAGACCAUUGUAGUCCACACCACAAACGGUGACCCCCAUGAAUUGGGGAGUUUUUGUGGAGGCGUUCCCCGGCUUGUCCGGGCGGGCGUCCCGCAAUAAAGUAUUCAACCUACGUGCACGUUCUAUCCAGCCAAGAGGUUACACUCUUGGCCUUGACGGGAACUUCCUCAGCACCU
RNAcentral lists this ribosomal RNA (493 nucleotides) under Rhynchomonas nasuta. RNAcentral describes it as "SSU rRNA". It matches the Rfam family "Eukaryotic small subunit ribosomal RNA", at positions 810 to 1113 of the family's 1831-position model. The record is from RNAcentral. Lineage: Eukaryota; Euglenozoa; Kinetoplastea; Neobodonida; Rhynchomonadidae.